This 346-nucleotide ribosomal RNA is filed under the name uncultured bacterium. RNAcentral's name for it is "partial 16S ribosomal RNA". It matches the Rfam family "Bacterial small subunit ribosomal RNA", at positions 338 to 681 of the family's 1533-position model. The record is from RNAcentral.
CCUACGGGAGGCAGCAGUGAGGAAUAUUGGUCAAUGGGCGAGAGCCUGAACCAGCCAAGUCGCGUGAAGGAUGAAGGAUCUAUGGUUUGUAAACUUCUUUUAUAUGGGAAUAAAGUGAGGAACGUGUUCCGUUUUGUAUGUACCAUAUGAAUAAGCAUCGGCUAACUCCGUGCCAGCAGCCGCGGUAAUACGGAGGAUGCGAGCGUUAUCCGGAGUUAUUGGGUUUAAAGGGUGCGUAGGUGGGUAAGUAAGUCAGCGGUGCAAGUUUGUGGCUCAACCAUAAAAUUGCCGUUGAAACUGGUUGCCUUGAUUAUAUUUGAGGUCGGCGGAAUGCGUGGUGUAGCGG